Diabrotica virgifera virgifera (western corn rootworm) is the source of this 415-nucleotide long non-coding RNA. RefSeq lists it as uncharacterized. The transcript is spliced from 2 exons. NCBI's taxonomy places the organism in Eukaryota, Metazoa, Arthropoda, Insecta, Coleoptera, Chrysomelidae. The record is from RefSeq and is a predicted model, not a curated record.
CCGCGAACUCUAAUAAAAAACAUGUAAUCGUAUUUAUUUUCCUUCCAUUUUGUCAGAGGCGCUGAUGUCGGCAUUGUGAUUGGUGGAACAUGACUUUUGACAAAUCUUGCGCUAUCUGUGAAUCUGUGUUCAGUGUUCGUGUUCGUUCGUUCGUUGUCGUUGUUAUUUUAUAUGGUCGGUUAUGUGAUGUGUUUGUGGUUUGUGUCACCAUAAAAAGCUGAUAUUCAGUUGUGUUUUUUUGAUAUUUUGUAAUCGAGUACCUUUUUAAAGGUCUAAUGGCUCCGAUCAGCUGUUGUGUGCAGGUGCAGACGGUGGAAAAGUUCAACAAGUAAACAUAUAUUUAAUCCAAAUUAAAUACUCAUAUUUCUAUGUAAAAUGUCACAUUAUUUUAUAAAUAAAUAAGUAAGAAACAAAA